This is a long non-coding RNA of Salvelinus namaycush (lake trout), 1673 nucleotides long. RefSeq lists it as uncharacterized. The record is from RefSeq and is a predicted model, not a curated record. The transcript has 2 exons. Lineage: Eukaryota; Metazoa; Chordata; Actinopteri; Salmoniformes; Salmonidae.
UUGUGUAUUGUUGUGUAUUUUGUUGUAGGUGCUACAGAAUCUGAUUCCACCAACAUGUGCUUUCAACCCCUAGCUCUGCACAAUAUGAAGUUAAGUUGGCCAAAUAUUUACAAGCUGAUGGCUAAGACAGCUCAAUUUAGAGUAAGCAUGGUAUAAACAUUAAUUGGGUAGUGUUUGUAUGGUUUGUGUUGUGGUGUUACAGGUGGUUAGAGGUAGCCUGAGGACCACAGAGUACCUUCCAGACCAAUUUAGUCUACCCCUCUUCUCUUCUUACCUUUUCUUUUUGUACAACUCAGGUUAUCUGGAAUCAUUCCACGGUGUCCUGCUGAAAAAUACCCCAAAACGGCGGCAUUUUGAGUGCACAAGCACGAGGGAGCGGACACAGUUAUGGAGCACAAUGGGACAGAAACCAGCAAGUGACACUGAAAGGUCUCUAUUGGUGACAAGGGGAUUCUCUCUACCACAUGGGAAUGCCUCCGUGGACAUCAUCAGUGUAGCCAUGCAACCAAUUUUGGCAGUUCCCAAUAUCGGCCGUACAGAUGUGGAGUGCGAGUGGAGGAAGCCAACCAUGCCCAACCAGGUGCAGUCAGUUAGUGAAGGACCUGCACCCGGCUGAGGACUACAACCCUCUGUCCCGAGAGCCCACAGAGGAGGAUCUUCAGUGGCUAAGGAACCGUCUCCGUGGCAGGUUCAGUGGAAUAUCAUGUUUCCUUGAACCUGAGCCAGAACAACCUCUACCCUCUCUGUCAUCAUUGUCUGUACCGGACAUUGUUAAAAAACAAGGGCACCUGAGGCAUGGAGGCAUCCUGGCUGGCAUGAUGCUGUCGGUGGAGAAGCAGGAGGCUAUAGGGCAGAUAACAGUUGGACAGAGCACCAACCCCAACUGGCACACCCAGAGGAAAGGGAGGUUGACGGCCAGCAAUUAUGGAACAGUGGUUAGGGCCAAGCGUGUUACUGCGUCGCUGCUAAAAAGGGUCCUUAGAUCAGUCGUUGGAUGAGGUGUUGUCUGUAAAGUGGGGCACAGAUAAUGAAGAGGAGGGCACCAGACCAUCCAGUGAGGCAUCAAGGCAAAUGACCACAUAGAUGGAUGUGCAGGAGUCAGGGAUCACAGGGUCUUGGAUCCGGUGUGCCUUGCCAGAUGGUCUGGUGGACAACACAGCAGUGGUGGAUUUCAAGUGUCCCUAUGGUGGAAGGUACCUUACCAUUGAAGAGGCAGUAAAGUCAAAGAAUUUCUAUUUCAAGGACGGAGGGUCUUACAGCCUCUGAAGACUGGCAUUACUGGCACCAGGUCCAAGGUCAGCUCCACAUCACUGGAAGGGACACCUGCUUCUUCGUUGUGUGUACCACCACAUCUGACAGACUCAUAUUGCUCCUCUUGUCAGUACCCGUUUUCAGGGAAGACAAUGGUCCAAAAAUGUUCCACAUAGUUCAUACACACACACACUAGGCUCCCAGACUAGGUUAUAUUCCAUACAAGUUUUGCUCAAAGCAUCCAACUAAAGUAAUGCAGUUAACGUAAGUUCAAUCACAAAAGCUGGUCUGAGUGCAUCUCAGUUUCAUUCAGUAGUACAGAACAAUUCACAUUGUAUUCUAUCAUGGGCACAGUGGGAAUUUAUAUCUGUGAUGAUUAAAUGAUGUCUUUCCCUCAGAGUGAGAGAGUACAUCACAUCCAG